ACUACUCAAAAUAGGAUACCCCUCCCAUGGGGGGACUCCCUUUGCAGUCGUUAGAGAGGUGUUCGUCGUUACACACCUUGCGUCCUACUAGCGGCUCGCACUUGUCACACCACUUGCGUUCUGUUUAUUUAUUUCUCUGCUACCUUAUCUCGUGACAUCAUUUCUAGCACACCUAGACCCCGUACACACUCUCACCAAGCAUACGCAUGCCUAUCGGCGGCAUACCUAAGCGUGUCCCGAUAUCUCGGUCACAGAAAGUUUUCGAGCCUCAUGACGCGAGAGGGGUGUACUAAUUGACGAUUCGACCAGACUGUGUGAUAAGCCACCAAACGGCGGACGUUGGAACAGGUUUGCGAUUGCUGUUGUGUUCAAUGUUGCUUUUAAUUACAUCCAUCCAGUGAAUGAUCGCCGUUUAAUGAAUUUCAAAAGCAAACACAUUCCCCAAUCAGGUGAAGGCUGCUAAUCGCACUGUGACUGAUUUACGCGUGAAGAUGGUAGCUGACAAGGUUCUAAUCCAAUGUUUUAAUCAAUGUAUACCUAUAAUCUAAGGCCUUCAAAAUAGUAUUGGAAUUGGCCCCCGAGUGCGGUAUAAUCUAUCUAAAAGUGCACGCCUGCCAACGACCAAAUUGCUGCAAUUGCAAUUGCAUCCCCAAAAUACGCCAAAUUUGCUCACCAUCGACCGGUUCCGUCUAUCUUCAUUACUCUUGAGUGUCGCGCCAUACUACGAUGCGAUUGUCAAACAAGAUUGACGACGCCCGAAGGCCAUUGAUGUUUAAAUUUAGAUGGAAAACGGUACCGAUGGCUUCCCUGUGAUGUGUGAAGUUGCCUAAAGCUGUGGUAAAUAGCAGCAUUGUUGAAACCUACCAAUUCAUUUUCAAUUCAUUUCAUGUAUACCGCAGAUGCAAAUAUAUUCGUUCGUAAAAAAUGCAACAUUCUGGUCUGUACAAUUGUAUCAUAUCAAACUGCAUAUAGAAAGCCCUUUCAAAGUGUGAUUCAUGUGAUGAGCACCAUCGCAUCCACUGCAUCGCUCGUCACCGUUCGCUGCCCCAAGGGCAAUUACACGAGGUGCGCUGUAAUUGAAAUGUACCUUUUCGCGGCGACAGCUAGAGGAGCCAGUGGCAUCGAUGCAACUAAUCACGACAUGAACGACCAUCACCCAACUGCACAGACAACACAUCAGUUCAUCAGACACACACCGGGAGCUCCGCCUCACCCCCCACUUGCGCUCAUCUCUGCUCCCGGCCAGUAUUGCACUCUAGAGAUUCCCGCGACCGUACAGCUAAUUGAAUUCCUUAUCAUUGUCCCAUACCGUUCCGGUUUCGCUGUGAAGUGUCUGAGGAAGUUCGCGGGAGAAUCGGUCAAUGCUUCACGACUCCCAUUAGUAAGAACUCGCACACCGUAUCCACUUAAGACACGUCGGCAAUCGACCAAUUCGACCAGCUAUAACAGCGACAACCAUGCCAUGACAGCUAACCUACUGUUCGAACAACAACACAACAUGCACUGCGAAACUGCGAGAUGAAUGGCUGGCGGGAUUUCUCGAGCGGAACCGAAACUCCAUUUCGGUCUUUUAGCGUUUUCACCUUGGUAUGCUCACCAUUGUUACUCGCUGCACACAACCAGCGUCACGGUGAUGAUGGAAACACACCACACCCUCGUGCAAACGAACUAUCGCGGUCAGUGCUACAGUGUUGACGCAUGUUGAGCUCAAACGGCAAACUAUCAAGCGACCACUGGCGUCACAUUGAAUCACUAAACUGGGAAGUUGACGAAUUCAGAAAAAAAAAUCUAUUAAGAUUCUUCAUUCGCUUAAUCACGCAUGACACAACCAACGGUAUGCGAACUCCGCAACACUUGCAAUCCCUGCACAGCAACACAAGUGCCCGCAUUCCUUGCGGUUAUUGGGACAGCAACACACGCUCCAACAACACGCCGGUAGUUGCCCCUCUGAGUUGAGUCGCGCCAAACUGUCACGCGAAACGUACUGUCGCGACGUUUCAGAAACGACGAUUGUGCCCGUCGCUGCGCUAUCAGCACUAGGGCAGCCUUUAUGCGUGUAUAUGUUCUAGCUGGAGGCAGCCGAUAGCUCACAGUGAUCGCAGCGAUUGAAUGACUUUUAUGUGCUCCGUUAAAUUGUAGUUCACAAGGCAUAAUCUUGAUAACGUGCGCAAUACACAUCGCAACACCCAGUCGUGCAAUCUGUCGACUAGAAAACUUCCCAACAAUUGGACCAAAGCUCCCGAUCGGAUCACUGGAAGGUAGGCAGCAGCAGUAGCAACUAGUGACGCGAUCCACUCUCCAAUGCUAUGUUUAAUGCAGUUAUUUUAAUCGACCACCAGUAGCCAUAGUAUAUCCUGCACUAGACUACACCGCAAUCGUCAACACGCUGGCGACAAUGAAUGGCGAUAAGCAUUCAGCGGAGCGUCUCACCGGCAUCAUGACUCACCAUAUGACCAAUGGUGGGUUCCUGCUAAAUGGGGCCUACGAAAUGUUAUGACACCAUCUACUUCCCCCUUCGUUUGCAUGUUUUACUUCGCUAGCGUACCAUCGUACAACGUGCCUCUGACGUCAGCUGGCUGGCUGGCUGGCUGGGUUGUAUCAGAUCAGCCUCCCCACAUAAACAACAUGCCGUUCUUCGUCGCUGUCACGAAUGGUUGACUCUCGUUGCUUGCACACGUAAGAUGAGACGCGCGCCACCAUCGAUGAAAUAAUAAUCAAAUUGCACGGCGACCUUUAUCCCAUUGUUAAAAGCAUGGCCAGCCGGCCGCACAGAUUGUCUGCCAGACGGAACAAGCGGCAUUUCAAGCGUGCUAUUCGCAGUUCCUCGUUAAAUAGCUGAUAAAUGGUUUCGCGAGCGACAUUUUACCAAGAACGUACACGCCUCGCAAAAUCCUUAUGACUCGUUGUCGAGAUGUGGUACGCGAUUGGCGUCACUGCCAUUCACUACCAGAGAGAGAAAGGCGACUACUUGCGUUAUCGGGGUGUCGUGACAUGUGAGUAGUGACGGCAGAGCGCGUCUGUCCGUCAACCACCACCUUAUAAUGACACUCGGAAGGUGGUGCACUCUAUGUGAAUUGGUACAUGAAUCAUAUUUCGCUCCAAGAUCCACUAAACGAUCGAUUUGGCUAUUGUCGAACGGCUAUUUUUUUGCCCUUUCCGAACCAAUUUCUGACGCAUCUUUUGACGCAAUUGACGCAGCCAAGGGAAACGGAAUCUUUAUACGUCAAAUGAGCAGCGGCCAAUCGACGAAUAAACUUGGCUGAAUGAGAACGAGAGGACGGACGGAUGCGGUAGCACCACCGAUAUAUGUUGCUGACCCAUUUAAGCCCGCAUAGACGCGCUCUGUUGUCGGGCGACGUACUCCACCACUUCCGAUUGGCGAGAAGUAUCACUAGGCACGCAACUAGACACACAGUUUCUUCGUUUAGCUCGUUCGGUCAGCACCAAAACACCGCACGGACGCGUGUCCAUCAGUCAUUAGAGGCUGUGUGUGCUGUGCAUGUCACUCACCCAACCGAGGGCGGUGGUAGCCAGACGAUUGGACAGGCACGCGAUCGAAGCACAGAACAGGGACCAAACCAACGCAAGGCACGCAGCAAUAGAGCACACGAAGGGAGAGGAGAGUGAGAAGUAAGGAAGGUUAGCUCAUCCUCACUCACUGUAACACAUCUGGGCAGGCCGCUUGCGUCCAUGGCAUACUGUGAGAUGAAUGGGUCCGCUGCUCUGGCCCACGUUAAUGGUACGCGUGCUACCGGCUACUUAGAUGCAGGUGGACGCGAACGACGACGAGGCGUCCCUUUUCUUGGUUCGCUCUCGUUCGCACGCAAUGGUGGAAUGGAUCCAGGAAGACGAUUCAGAAAUAGGACGCAAUGACAAGUGGCUAUCGCCCCCAGGGGGCGAUUUCCAAUGAAAAACAAAUGGUUACAAGACGACCACUGCCCCCUCUCAUUGACACUCUGGCCCAUAGAUGCCAGGAUUAGUGUGCAUGUGCUCCGUGAUACAAUCUUCGUCAGGCCCGAUCUUCCAACGGUGCUAAGCAUUCGAACAUUGCCACGUAAAGGCUCGAUUUAUGUUCACAAAUUAUGGUCCAUCUCGUCUACCACGGUUGUUUCUGUCCGUUAACAUCAAAGUAGAGGCUGAUGAGGAAUGUGGAACGUUUUCUAAAAUAGUACGUCCCCGCACCGACCUAGCACCAGAACUGGUCCCACCGACCGAUGGGGUCGUUGCGUUUGUUUCGCAUAGUACCGAGUGAGCAUUCCUCCUUCUUUGCCGAUCCCUAAAAAUAGAUCCAAAUAACAACGCUUCCAUGCAGCAGCAGCAGCCGCCACAGCACCGGCUACCGGACACUAGAACACCCUCCUGGGGUACAGGUUGCGAUCGGUGUGUUGCGCUGCUUCGGGCGAUGGUUAAAUGUUCGGUCGUCGGUUAGUCCGCUGAACGGCAAGCAGCAGCAGCAGCAGCAUCCUCUACUCAUCGCGGCGAACGCACGCUACUCCACCCAGCACAUAUUGUGUGCAGCUCACGUUCGAAAAGCAUGUUUAACGACGAAGGAACAGCAAUAUCAGCAGGAGCAGCAUUUGAACCCGCGUCCAAAGCUGCAACCAUAAAGAGUUCUCUCUGCAAUGAAAUUUAUUUUUAAAACAUAACGACGAAUAUCGUAGAACCGCUGAGGGUAACCGCAUUCUCAGGGCAGAGGGGAGAGAGAGAGAGAGAGAGAGAGAGAGAGAGAGAGAGAAAGAAAGAUCAUUGCUUCACAAUGCGUCUUUGUAGUGUGUUGCUACUCCUAAUCCCGGAUCCUACUCCCGGAUAGACAGAAUCCAACUAGGACGGACUCUGUAGUGUAUUCAAAUGAUGGAAAACUAACCAUUUAUCCCACGGUGACCCACCCCCUCUAUGAUCCAUUUUCAACUCCGUACGGAAGGGACAUCGGACGAUCGUCGUCCAAAAACCCAUUAUGUCACCCACGGCUGGCGGAACUAAUAAACAGAUCGGCAUAAUUAAAUCUGUUGAAUUACCAAAAUAGAAACAUAUAUAAAAGAUUGCCAAAAUUUGAACUGAUGAUGAGGCGCCUGCCGUUUAAAAUAUUAUGCGGGAAAAGGAAAUAAAAAAACGACAACAACUACCACUACAGUCGUACAGUAGUAAAACAUUCGCGAUCCGUUUCCUUUUUGUUAUGAGUUUAUAAUUUUAGUUUUUUUGAACAUUUUGAAUACUGGAAUGCGAAAGAGGGAAGUCGUUGUACGUUUUUGGGAGAUUCAUUAUCGUAUAAUGCUCAUCAAUUUUCAACGAGAAUGAUGUGCUUUAAAUCACUCAUUGACCUUAACAGGAUAACGGGAGCUCAUCGUGCCAGAUAGCGCUACAUCACGUUUGACCUUCCUCAGACUAAACAGUGUGUCUAAUGGGAAAAUGAUUGCCACAUUAUAACCUUCAUAGAAUGAACUAAAACCAUCUGCACUAUAGCCCAAUAACAAUCGAGUUUGAUGGAAGAGAAACCCCUAUUGAAGACUUUGCUACAUGCUCCAGCAAACCUGCACUACCGAGAACUAAUAGUAUGCACAUCAAAAAGGGCUGCAACUGCCGCUUGCUAUUGUUUUCUUUCAUCCGAAACAUGGCCAUCCGAAGCAUGUACCGAACGGUAGAUGUUUCAUAGUGGUCGAAAGGGGCGCGGAUGACGUCGUCCAUUUUCAUACAUUUUCGAAAAGGCUACGAUGCGGAACGACUUGUAUGCACACAUCCACAGCGGGUUUCGUGCGGCCGGAACCGGAUAGCCGCGUAGCACAAGCGUGACAAACAUCUAAAAGGUGUUUAUAUGUCCGCAAACGCCAAACGGAAGGUGUUAAUCGAUUGACUAAAGUAAGCCCGACCGAUGACGGUGGAGCGCUAUGUUCCGAAGUGUGCUCUAUGUGAAAUCCAGCACGCGUAUCGUGCCUAGAUGGCAUGUGAGAGCCGGCGCCUUGCCGCCAUCGCCAUCGCGGUGGUCUAGCCUUAUGUCACGACAAUCUAGGGUGCGGAUCGUGAUUAACGGCACG
This is a long non-coding RNA of Anopheles darlingi, 6029 nucleotides long. RefSeq lists it as uncharacterized. The record is from RefSeq and is a predicted model, not a curated record. Lineage: Eukaryota; Metazoa; Arthropoda; Insecta; Diptera; Culicidae. The transcript has 5 exons.